AUAUUUUUUUUUUUUUCUUUCUAACGUCUUGUUUUUCUAGCUGUCUGACAUUCUUCACAUAGUGCUUGAACUCCCACCAUCAUUUUUGUCUGUUAUGAAAGUAAAAACAAGCAGUCCUCCUUGCCCAGUAAAUGUAUGGAUCUCUUUGCCAUGCUUUGGGUUGGGUACAAUUUUUAUGAGUUGGUUAUGGGAUGGUCCACAUUUCUAUGAAGACCUCUGCUGUGAAAUCACUCCAGUAAUUGUGUGGUGGUGAACCUUUCAAUUUCUUGAUAUUCAUACUAACAAUGUGUUCAGUUCCUCAUGAUCCACUUUUUGUUGGAGUUGUGGUUAAAAUAGAGUACCCCAAGAGCAGCCAGAUGAUCCAGGAACAAAUAUUUGCACUAUAAUGGAUUAUUAAAUAGAAAACCUUUUGUACUUUAAGAGUAGCUUGGUGUUCAAACUCCUCUACUUUUUGCCUCAUACAAUAUUCAACUUUUUGGAGCACACACAGUUGAUUUAGGGGGAUUAAUCUUUUGUACAUUCACUAUGCACCAGUAAACAAUUUUGCUUAAAUCUAGGACUUUGAUCGUAGCUUACUUUGAGGAGUUUUAUAUUGAUGUGAUUCAGAGUUGCAUAGAACAUCUGUCUGCUGGGUAAAACCUGUUCUAUAUCUCAAUGCUUCCAGGAAUGGUUAGAACCCAUCUUUCAGUUGCCAAAGUGCCUUCAAUUCAUAGUCUGUUGGUCACUUCUUUGUGAAUUGGCUCACAUCAAUAAAUGUGUAACUCAAGUACCCUGUCCAAUACAGGAGUUCCAUGACCUUGGGUACUACUCGUGUAGAAACAAUAUAUUAAUGUACUGCCUGUGUACACAAGUCUGAAACGAUGAAAGCUAAAACCAUAGCAAAUUCCACCUACACCGUUUUCUAUAAGCAAUCUCCUAGGUGUGUUGAUACCUUGGCUACAUGCAAAGAUCUAUUACCAUGUAAUGAUGCCAGUUCAGAGCUUUUUGUUUGUUUGGCAUAAUUCUUAUUGGCUGCAGUGAGGCAGAAAGCUGUUGAAGCUGUUGGCUUUUGCUGUAGUUUAAAUCCGUGUCAUCUGUGAAAUGUCUAAAGUGCUUUUUUUUUUUUUUUUUUCAUCUGAUAUGCUUCAAGCAGAUACGUUAAUACUUGAACUGUUGUCAAGUGUUUGUAAGCAAAGAAUGUACAUAUAUAUAUUUGUAUCACGUUGAAUGCAGGCAUAUGGAGUUGAGUAAUGAAAUAUUCAGGCACAAUCAAAUAAAAUGUGUCUGGCAGAAACAUGUACAUAUAUAAAAUUAUCUAUACAUUUUUAUUUUAUAUUUAACUCCUAUGUGCAAUGCCAACGUUUAUCUGAGGUUGUUUUUAUAUAAAAAAAAAAAAUCUCCUAUAGCACUAAAACAAAUGCCUACCUUUCAUUAAUUUUACAUUCCCCCACUGUUCUAUUUAAUUUUAGCAUGGCACUGUUUUCGCAUUUGUGAAGCAGUGCUACUUUUCAGUCAACUUUUGAUUCGUUUUGGAAAUGGACAUUGAAUUCUUUUAUUUUAUUUUUUCCUUAAUUAAUUUUUUACUUUGUUUUUGAGGUUUUUUUUUUGUUAUUCCUUUGUCACUAAAAAGGGUCUUUGCAGCUCCCAGAUUUACUGUGAUGCUGUAAGACUAAAGGUUACCUAUCAAUACCGGGCCAUGGCUAUUCCCUUUUACCUUAACACUGCUGGCAGCGUAGAUUCUGUGUCUAGGUGUAAUAGAAAAAUUUAUUUUGCAUUCAUUAAACUCGAAGUUUUGAGAGGAAAAAAAAGUUAAUGCUCCAACUUCUUUUUAAGCCCUGACAUCUUGCUUUUGUAAUUCUCUCUUUUAACCCACUUUUUUUUUAUGUUUUGAACUGCUUUAUUUUUUUUUUUUUGUAAGUUAUCCUAGAAUAGGUUUACAAACCAAAAUACUUCCUCAUUCACAUUCCACUUAAAACACACACAACAAAAACUAUUAGUCUGAUUCUUCUGAGCAUUACGACAAUAGUUUCUGUUCGGUAAUUCUAUUUAAGGGAGACUAACAGGCUAUAUAAGCUGCGACACAGUGGCAGUUUUGUAGAAAUGCCAAUUCUGAAACAGAGCUUUAAAAGUAGUUUUUUAAGAACCACUCCUCAGUUUUUCAUAGUGUUAAAUCAUCUAUUAGAACUGCCCAACAAUUAAUCUUCAGUAACUCCCAAUAUUCUCAAACACAAUUGUCCUCCUGCCACUUCUACACCCAGGACAUUGUAGGUUUCAUUGGAGCAGAAUUGUUAAACCACAAAGUUUUGAAGGUAUAUGAGGACUAGUUUGUAGGCCAUUGCUUGAAGAAAUGUACAUUUUGCUUGUGCUAUACAAGUUCAAAGCCUCCAUACAUUUUGGCUCCUUAGCAUUGUUACCUUCUGGUAUUUGGCUGCUCUUUGCGGUGUUGUAGAAACUUAUUGGGGGAAAGAAAUGGGAUUUAGCAUUUUCUAAAAUUGUUACAAUGCCAGUUUUCUUGCAAUUGGCUGCUCUGAAACCUGCAAUGUUUGACUUUUUUAUGUAUUUCUGUUGUGCCUUAUGUGGUUUUCCUUUUUUGUACAGUAAUUUUAAAUCAAUUGAAUGUUUUUGUAUAGAUCUAUUAAAGUUUGUAAAUUAUAAACAGCCUGUUUAAAAUGUGCUUUGUAUUCCUUUAUUAAUUGGAAAAAAAUAAAUUCUACUGAUGUAUUUUUGCAGGCAUGAGAAAAAAAAUUUCUGUGCAGUUCUAAAGCUGUUUAUAAUAAAGGUAUUUUCCACUUUAUCUGAUUUAUUAUUUAUAGAACUUCAACAUAUUCUGCAGCACUUUACAAUUAUACAGUGGUGAUACUUGGCAGCAAAUACAAAAACAAUAUAAUGGUGCGCAAGAAACAAAAUAAAUAUACUUUGAAUCCAGAAUUCCGCAAACCAAUUUGGGACACAUUAAAUACAAAUAUAGUGCAGACAAUUUGUAUAUAAAAACUGUUAAAGGGACACUAUAGUCACCAGUGCAACUACAUGUAUUCCUGACCCUAUAAUGUUUACACCACCAUCUAGCCCCCCUGUGCCCCUCAUGCCUCCAUAAAUAUAGUAAAAUUCUUACUGUAUUCAAGCCAGAAGCUGUAACUCUGCAUGCUGUUUGCCUAAAAAAAAGUCUGCUGACAUCAUUAGAAGUUGUAGCCUGAUCCAAUCACAAUGCUUCCCCAUAGGAUUGGCUGAGACUGACAAGGAGGCAGAUCGGGGCAGAGCCAGCAUGAUUCAAACACAGCCCUGGCCAAUCAGCAUUUCCUCAUAGAGAUGAAUUGAAUCAAUGAAUCUCUAUGAGGAAAGUUCAGUGUCUGCAUGCAGAGGGAGGAGAUACUGAAUCACAGUAUAUUGCCUCCAACUCCGAAGUCCCUCUGGUUCACUGUGAGUGACUGCAACUGGAGGUGUUCCUAGCUUUCAAUGUAAACACUGUAUUUUCACAGAAAAUAGUGUUUACAUGAGAGAGGCUGCAGGGAGCUAUAGUUCUCACCUGAACAACCUCAUUAAGCUGAAGUUGUUCAGGUGACUAUAGUGUCCCUUUAAAUAUGAAAUGAGUUAGAAAUAUUGUAUGGGGAGGGGGGGAGAGAAGGGGUUAUAGUGUGGGAACAGGGGCAGUGAGUGAAGAGGUUAUAGUGUGGGGACGGGGGCAGUGAGUGAAGGGGUGAGAG
Pelobates cultripes (western spadefoot toad) is the source of this 3680-nucleotide non-coding RNA. The record is from the annotation of a GenBank genome assembly. Lineage: Eukaryota; Metazoa; Chordata; Amphibia; Anura; Pelobatidae.